Molecule: ribosomal RNA, 649 nt
Filed under: uncultured bacterium
Lineage: Bacteria
Description: bacterial SSU rRNA
Rfam family: Bacterial small subunit ribosomal RNA
Source: RNAcentral
AUCAGGCCUAACACAUGCAAGUCGAACGAAGGCUUCGGCCUUAGUGGCGCACGGGUGCGUAACGCGUGGGAAUCUGCCCUUGGGUUCGGAAUAACAGUUAGAAAUGACUGCUAAUACCGGAUGAUGUCUUCGGACCAAAGAUUUAUCGCCCAGGGAUGAGCCCGCGUAGGAUUAGGUAGUUGGUGGGGUAAAGGCCUACCAAGCCGACGAUCCUUAGCUGGUCUGAGAGGAUGAUCAGCCACACUGGGACUGAGACACGGCCCAGACUCCUACGGGAGGCAGCAGUGGGGAAUAUUGGACAAUGGGCGAAAGCCUGAUCCAGCAAUGCCGCGUGAGUGAUGAAGGCCUUAGGGUUGUAAAGCUCUUUUACCCGGGAUGAUAAUGACAGUACCGGGAGAAUAAGCCCCGGCUAACUCCGUGCCAGCAGCCGCGGUAAUACGGAGGGGGCUAGCGUUGUUCGGAAUUACUGGGCGUAAAGCGCACGUAGGCGGCUAUUCAAGUCAGAGGUGAAAGCCCGGGGCUCAACCCCGGAACUGCCUUUGAAACUAGGUAGCUAGAAUUCUGGAGAGGUCAGUGGAAUUCCGAGUGUAGAGGUGAAAUUCGUAGAUAUUCGGAAGAACACCAGUGGCGAAGGCGACUGACUGGACAG